GACUCACCCGCCGCGGGGACUGGGGGAGAGGGGGAGCAGGGCUGGGACUCCCCUUUCCCACCCUGGAGUUUGGGGGCUCUGGCACUGGGGCUGAGAGGGCAGCUUCGAGUCCAAAUUCUCGCUCAAACCCACCUAAACCAAAGCGGCCCGGGGGACGUCGGGAGGCAUGAAGGAGAGUCACAAGGAGACCCCUGAAAGGGUUUCGCUUUCUCUCCCCUGCUGAUGGCUGGGCUGGGGACAGGUCUGGGAGCCUUGCUGCCGCCCUUGCUCCGGCAUUCUGCGCUUGUGUCUUCCCUGCUCCUCUGGGGGUAAUUACAGCCCUGCGCAGCUGCCUUACCCAGGUCUCUAAUCUGCUGGGUCCCUCCCGGCUCCAAACUGGGUGGUCCUAGCCCUGGACCUCCCCCACCCCCACCAGACGACCCCGCCAAUCACCCCAGAAGGAUUUUCUCCCAGUGGUCUGUCGAUGAGGGGGUGGUGACCCCCUCCAGAAUCCACUCCCCAAAGUAGCCCUGCUUCCCAGCCCUCCAGAAUGGACUCCCAGCCCCCUUGUUGGUGCCAGCUGAGGUGAGGGCUUCAAGCCAAGCCAGGCCCAGCCCGGGGCAGAGUGGGGAGCUUGCUGGGAAGGUGGAUGGAUGAUGGUGGUGCUG
Molecule: long non-coding RNA, 647 nt
Filed under: Homo sapiens (human)
Lineage: Eukaryota; Metazoa; Chordata; Mammalia; Primates; Hominidae
Description: non-protein coding lnc-COL8A2-60:4
Source: RNAcentral